GGAUUAGAUACCCUGGUAGUCCACGCUGUAAACGAUGGAUACUAGCUGUUGGAUUUUCGGAUUCAGUGGCCAAGCGAAAGUGAUAAGUAUCCCACCUGGGGAGUACGUUCGCAAGAAUGAAACUCAAAGGAAUUGACGGGGGCCCGCACAAGCGGUGGAGCAUGUGGUUUAAUUCGAUGAUACGCGAGGAACCUUACCAGGGCUUAAAUGCAUUUGGACCGGGGUGGAAACACCCUUUUCUUCGGACUAUUUGCAAGGUGCUGCAUGGUUGUCGUCAGCUCGUGCCG
RNAcentral lists this ribosomal RNA (287 nucleotides) under uncultured bacterium. RNAcentral describes it as "partial 16S ribosomal RNA". It matches the Rfam family "Bacterial small subunit ribosomal RNA", at positions 775 to 1067 of the family's 1533-position model. The record is from RNAcentral.